UACGGAGGGUGCAAGCGUUAUCCGGAUUCACUGGGUUUAAAGGGUGCGUAGGCGGGUAUGUAAGUCAGUGGUGAAAUCCCCGAGCUUAACUCGGGAACUGCCAUUGAUACUAUAUAUCUUGAAUAUUCUGGAGGUAUGCGGAAUAUGUCAUGUAGCGGUGAAAUGCUUAGAUAUGACAUAGAACACCAAUUGCGAAGGCAGCUUACUACACAAAUAUUGACGCUGAGGCACGAAAGCGUGGGGAUCAAACAGG
Molecule: ribosomal RNA, 253 nt
Filed under: uncultured bacterium
Lineage: Bacteria
Description: partial 16S ribosomal RNA
Rfam family: Bacterial small subunit ribosomal RNA
Source: RNAcentral